This 611-nucleotide long non-coding RNA is filed under the name Actinidia chinensis (golden kiwifruit). RNAcentral's name for it is "long non-coding RNA (ACHI_LNC006240)". The record is from RNAcentral. Lineage: Eukaryota; Viridiplantae; Streptophyta; Magnoliopsida; Ericales; Actinidiaceae.
AGAGGUGUCAAGUGGGCCUUGCCGGCACGGCCCGACACGGGCAUGGCACGAAAAAACUCGGUACGGGCACGGUUUCGGAACGGUAUAAGUUGGGCACGGCAUGGCACGGUCUGAGCGGGCACGGGUACAGGUACGGAGCACGGAAAUGGUGGAGCACGGCACGGGCACGACACGAUAGUUGGCUUAACAUGGCAUGGCAUGGCACGGCACGAUCAAAACCCGACACGACACGGGCACGACACGAUAGUUAACUUAGUUUGGCACGGCACGGCACGACACAGACUUAGUCAAGCACGGCAUGUGCAUGGCACGAAUGUGUCAAGGGCACGACACGGGUACGGCACGAUACGGAAGUGGCAAGAAAUGAUUAAUUAUUAAAUAAAUUAAAAUAAAAUUUAAUUAAAUAAAUUGACUUUUUGUGCAACGGCUGCUAACUCAUAAGCCUGUAGCCACUAAGCCUACAUUCCCAAAUUAUGAUUUUCAUGGAAAAGGCAUUUUUGAUGUCAAAAUAUUUAUAAAUUUGGGCAGUUCUUAUGUGUUGUCUUUGAGCACAAAACUACUAUAAUUGUGCUUUUAAUUAAAAAACGGACACGACAUAAUUAAAAUACGAG